CAGCCGCCGCGGUAAUACCCGCAGCUCAAGUGGUGGUCGCUUUUAUUGAGCCUAAAACGUUCGUAGUCGGCUUUGUAAAUCCCUGGGUAAAUCGGGCCGCUCAACGGUUCGAAUUCCGGGGAGACUGCAAAGCUAGGGACCGGGCGAGGUCAGAGGUACUUUCGGGGUAGGAGUGAAAUCCUGUAAUCCCGAAGGGACCACCUGUGGCGAAAGCGUCUGACUUGAACGGCUCCGACGAUGAGGUACGAAGGCUAGGGGAGCAAACCGGAUUAGAUACCCGGGUAGUCCUAGCUGUAAACUCUGCCCGCUUGGUGUGGCCUGUCCUUCGGGGGCAGGCUGUGCCGGAGCGAAGGUGUUAAGCGGGCUGCUUGGGGAGUACGGCCGCAAGGUUGAAACUUAAAGGAAUUGGCGGGGGAGCAC
Molecule: ribosomal RNA, 420 nt
Filed under: uncultured archaeon
Lineage: Archaea
Description: bacterial SSU rRNA
Rfam family: Archaeal small subunit ribosomal RNA
Source: RNAcentral